GACGAACGCUGGCGGCGUGCUUAACACAUGCAAGUCGAACGGAAAGGCCCUGCUUUUGUGGGGUGCUCGAGUGGCGAACGGGUGAGUAACACGUGAGUAACCUGCCCUUGACUUUGGGAUAACUUCAGGAAACUGGGGCUAAUACCGGAUAGGAGCUCCUGCUGCAUGGUGGGGGUUGGAAAGUUUCGGCGGUUGGGGAUGGACUCGCGGCUUAUCAGCUUGUUGGUGGGGUAGUGGCUUACCAAGGCUUUGACGGGUAGCCGGCCUGAGAGGGUGACCGGCCACAUUGGGACUGAGAUACGGCCCAGACUCCUACGGGAGGCAGCAGUGGGGAAUAUUGCACAAUGGGCGGAAGCCUGAUGCAGCAACGCCGCGUGCGGGAUGACGGCCUUCGGGUUGUAAACCGCUUUCGCCUGUGACGAAGCGUGAGUGACGGUAAUGGGUAAAGAAGCACCGGCUAACUACGUGCCAGCAGCCGCGGUGAUACGUAGGGUGCGAGCGUUGUCCGGAUUUAUUGGGCGUAAAGGGCUCGUAGGUGGUUGAUCGCGUCGGAAGUGUAAUCUUGGGGCUUAACCCUGAGCGUGCUUUCGAUACGGGUUGACUUGAGGAAGGUAGGGGAGAAUGGAAUUCCUGGUGGAGCGGUGGAAUGCGCAGAUAUCAGGAGGAACACCAGUGGCGAAGGCGGUUCUCUGGGCCUUUCCUGACGCUGAGGAGCGAAAGCGUGGGGAGCGAACAGGCUUAGAUACCCUGGUAGUCCACGCUGUAAACGGUGGGUACUAGGUGUGGGGUCCAUUCCACGGGUUCCGUGCCGUAGCUAACGCUUUAAGUACCCCGCCUGGGGAGUACGGCCGCAAGGCUAAAACUCAAAGGAAUUGACGAGGCCCCGCACAAGCGGCGGAGCAUGCGGAUUAAUUCGAUGCAACGCGUAGAACCUUACCUGGGUUUGACAUGGAUCGGGAGUGCUCAGAGAUGGGUGUGCCUCUUUUUGGGGUCGGUUCACAGGUGGUGCAUGGCUGUCGUCAGCUCGUGUCGUGAGAUGUUGGGUUAAGUCCCGCAACGAGCGCAACCCUUGUUCACUGUUGCCAGCACGUUAUGGUGGGGACUCAGUGGAGACCGCCGGGGUCAACUCGGAGGAAGGUGGGGAUGACGUCAAGUCAUCAUGCCCCUUAUGUCCAGGGCUUCACGCAUGCUACAAUGGCUGGUACAGAGAGUGGCGAGCCUGUGAGGGUGAGCGAAUCUCGGAAAGCCGGUCUCAGUUCGGAUUGGGGUCUGCAACUCGACCUCAUGAAGUCGGAGUCGCUAGUAAUCGCAGAUCAGCAACGCUGCGGUGAAUACGUUCCCGGGGCU
RNAcentral lists this ribosomal RNA (1347 nucleotides) under uncultured bacterium. RNAcentral's name for it is "partial 16S ribosomal RNA". It matches the Rfam family "Bacterial small subunit ribosomal RNA", at positions 28 to 1381 of the family's 1533-position model. The record is from RNAcentral.